GUCUCAUUGGGGGGUUCUGAUCCCGCUUACUGUUUGGUCAGAUUCCUGUAUCCCGCUUAUACUAUGUACCUAAGCAAUUCUCAUUUUUUUUGUAAUUUCCCAUGUCCUGCUAGACCUUAAUUCCGUUUUCACAGCACAAUAAUUUAACUUUCCCGUGUCACGCUUACGAAAAAUCAGCAAAUCCCCCGUCACGCUUAGACCCCAAUGAGACCCACUUUGAAUGCAGAAAUGGUUAAAGAAAUCUGAGUCAUCUAUUGAAAUGCUGCCAAUUCAUAACCUAAUUGAGCGCUGGCAAAAAAUCAGAAAUUUUAAAUUCCGUACAAGUGUUUAAUCUGUAUUGUAUUUCUGUUUUCUGUCAUAACGCUUAUAAUCUUACUUUAAAAACU
This 386-nucleotide long non-coding RNA is filed under the name Mytilus galloprovincialis (Mediterranean mussel). The record is from RNAcentral. Lineage: Eukaryota; Metazoa; Mollusca; Bivalvia; Mytilida; Mytilidae.